UAACACUAACACAAGACCAUAAAUCAUAUCAUAUAAAUACAUCAAAAACUUCAUACCAAUUUUCAAUCAACCAAGCAACCAUGUUACCUCUAACAUUAGCUAUUCCUUCCAUACUCUUUCUAAUAUUCAUUUGGAUUUUAUUUCAUCCAAAACAUCAUCAACAACAUAAUAAAAAACAUCCACCUGGUCCUAAACCUUUUCCAAUUAUUGGCAACCUUCACAUCCUUGGAAACCUCCCACAUCGUACCCUUCAAUCCCUUGCCCNNNN
RNAcentral lists this long non-coding RNA (268 nucleotides) under Trifolium pratense (red clover). RNAcentral's name for it is "long non-coding RNA (TPRA_LNC003356)". The record is from RNAcentral. Lineage: Eukaryota; Viridiplantae; Streptophyta; Magnoliopsida; Fabales; Fabaceae.